GUCGUACAGGUUUCCGUAGGUGAACCUGCGGAAGGAUCAUUG
This 42-nucleotide ribosomal RNA is filed under the name Tetratheca nuda. Its description in RNAcentral is "partial 18S ribosomal RNA". Lineage: Eukaryota; Viridiplantae; Streptophyta; Magnoliopsida; Oxalidales; Elaeocarpaceae. The record is from RNAcentral.